AAAAUACUUGAUUGGAGAGAUUAUAUAAAUUCAUGAUUGGAUGAAUGUUUCUACCAACUGCCGUAACAGUUGACUAUAAUGCUCAAUGGGAGUAGU
RNAcentral lists this non-coding RNA (96 nucleotides) under Anaerofustis stercorihominis. Its description in RNAcentral is "Guanine sequence". It matches the Rfam family "Purine riboswitch aptamer". Rfam says of the family: Riboswitches are metabolite binding domains within certain messenger RNAs that serve as precision sensors for their corresponding targets. Allosteric rearrangement of mRNA structure is mediated by ligand binding, and this results in modulation of gene expression. A class of riboswitches that selectively recognises guanine and becomes saturated at concentrations as low as 5 nM. Lineage: Bacteria; Bacillati; Bacillota; Clostridia; Eubacteriales; Eubacteriaceae. The record is from RNAcentral. RNAcentral also lists the same sequence under 1 other name.